Long non-coding RNA from Peromyscus californicus insignis, 1075 nucleotides. RefSeq lists it as uncharacterized. The transcript has 2 exons. NCBI's taxonomy places the organism in Eukaryota, Metazoa, Chordata, Mammalia, Rodentia, Cricetidae. The record is from RefSeq and is a predicted model, not a curated record.
GGCUGGUGGGGAGCGCGCUCGCGGUCCACGUGACUCCUCCCGGGGCCGCUGUCAAAGCGGAGGCCGGGAACACCCCUAGCUUCACGCUCCUGGCCCUGGGACAAGACCACAGUAGGUGCGGUUUCCAGCGGGCCCCCCGCUUGGGGAUGAGCUUGAGUGAGGCGGGAGUCGACAUCCUUUCUCGAAUGCCAAUCUCUUCAGGGUUUAGACAUGAAUUUUGGGAGGAGCGCCACAAAGCUCCUGAGAGGAGCAGGCAGAGUUAAACUUACUUUGAAAGGGAGUUUUUGAUAUUUUGUUUUGCAAGACAGUCCACAUCUUAUACGAAUGCAGUAUGGAUUCUUUGUAUUCAAUCAUUGUGGAAUAUAGUUUAAGGUGUGUUGCAUUCGUUUUAUGCUGUGGAAUCUUUGUUUAAGGAUGCAAAGUUGUGUUGCAUUCUUUUAUGUUGCAUUGGUUUAACUCUGUGAAGCGGUGUUACUUUGCCUGUCUAAAACACGUCACUGGUCUAAUAAAGAGCUGAAUGGCCAAUUGCUAGGCAGGAGAGAGAAAUGGGCGGGCCUGGAAGGCAGAAUAAAUGAGUGAGAGAGAAGACAAGAACUACACAGAAGAAAGAACAGAAAACCUAAGUGUGUAAAUGUACAACUGUGAGGUGCAUCGCUAAAGGACUAUGGAAGCCAUGCAGGUAACAUGAGUACCUGCGGAACAGCCUGGAGGAGGUUGAUGUUGGGAGGCCCUGCUGCUUAAGGUUACAGUUCACCAUGUCUGGACGGCUCUCCGAGCUAGGCAUAAAACGGAAGAUUCCUCCUGCAGGGGCUUCCUCCUCUCUGCCUGACCUUCUCUGGAAGCUCCCUGAGCUUGGAUGCCUGACUUAAGUGUGACCUUUGACACAGGUCCCUGUAAAUGCUCUCCCCUGCUGCCCAUGUGAUGAUUAGGUGGUGUGCCCCCAUCAGUAUGAUGGGACCCUGCUGCCAAAUACAAAGGAAGCAUAUAUAAGCACCUAUCAGGUGAUGUCCCAGCUGCUGUCCCCAUCCUAUGUAUUCCCCCUCGCUCUGGGAUGAAGUUGAGCUGUCUCACUGAA